UAUUGCACAAUGGGCGCAAGCCUGAUGCAGCCAUGCCGCGUGUAUGAAGAAGGCCUUCGGGUUGUAAAGUACUUUCAGUCGGGAGGAAGGUGUUAAGGUUAAUAACCUUAGCAAUUGACGUUACCGACAGAAGAAGCACCGGCUAACUCCGUGCCAGCAGCCGCGGUAAUACGGAGGGUGCAAGCGUUAAUCGGAAUUACUGGGCGUAAAGCGCACGCAGGCGGUUGAUUGAGUCAGAUGCGAAAUCCCCGGGCUUAACCCGGGAAUUGCAUCUGAUACUGGUCAGCUAGAGUCUUGUAGAGGGGGGUAGAAUUCCAUGUGUAGCGGUGAAAUGCGUAGAGAUGUGGAGGAAUACCGGUGGCGAAGGCGGCCCCCUGGACAAAGACUGACGCUCAGGUGCGAAAGCGUGGGGAGCAAACAGG
RNAcentral lists this ribosomal RNA (422 nucleotides) under uncultured bacterium. Its description in RNAcentral is "bacterial SSU rRNA". It matches the Rfam family "Bacterial small subunit ribosomal RNA", at positions 362 to 776 of the family's 1533-position model. The record is from RNAcentral.